This 253-nucleotide ribosomal RNA is filed under the name uncultured bacterium. RNAcentral describes it as "partial 16S ribosomal RNA". It matches the Rfam family "Bacterial small subunit ribosomal RNA", at positions 524 to 776 of the family's 1533-position model. The record is from RNAcentral.
UACAGAGGGGGCAAGCGUUAUUCGGAAUUAUUGGGCGUAAAGGGCGCGUAGGCGGCCAGGCAAGUGGAAGGUGAAAUCCCUCGGCUUAACCGAGGAACUGCCCUCCAAACUGCUUGGCUUGAGACCGGGAGAGGUGAGUGGAAUUCCCAGUGUAGCGGUGAAAUGCGUAGAUAUUGGGAGGAACACCAGUGGCGAAGGCGGCUCACUGGACCGGAACUGACGCUGAGGCGCGAAAGCGUGGGGAGCAAACGGG